Molecule: ribosomal RNA, 253 nt
Filed under: uncultured bacterium
Lineage: Bacteria
Description: partial 16S ribosomal RNA
Rfam family: Bacterial small subunit ribosomal RNA
Source: RNAcentral
UACGUAGGGUGCAAGCGUUAAUCGGAAUUACUGGGCGUAAAGCGUGCGCAGGCGGUUAUGUAAGACAGAUGUGAAAUCCCCGGGCUCAACCUGGGAACUGCAUUUGUGACUGCAUAGCUAGAGUACGGUAGAGGGGGAUGGAAUUCCGCGUGUAGCAGUGAAAUGCGUAGAUAUGCGGAGGAACACCGAUGGCGAAGGCAAUCCCCUGGGCCUGCACUGACGCUCAUGCACGAAAGCGUGGGGAGCAAACAGG